Molecule: long non-coding RNA, 632 nt
Organism: Thunnus maccoyii (southern bluefin tuna)
Lineage: Eukaryota; Metazoa; Chordata; Actinopteri; Scombriformes; Scombridae
Exons: 2
Source: RefSeq, a predicted model, not a curated record
AAUGAGUUUCAUCUGAUCUGGACUGUUGCCGCUGACAGAGACUCGGUGAGCUGAUUGUUCUCAGCUGGCCUUGAUUGUGGAGGUGGCAAACUGGUAAAGGGGCUGCCGAGAGAGCGGGAGCGAGUCCUGGGGAGCGGAGCAUGUAUGUCGCGGGUAGUUUGCCCGGCGAAGGUACUGAUACUGCACUCACGGGACCCUCUUGCGGUCCCAGGGCCCUAAGCAGCUUUGUUUGCUCACUGCCGGCUCUGGAAACACACUUUUCCUGGUGUUUUGAGACGGCGCAGCAGCAGAAAAGCAGUGGGAAGAACUGCUGUGAACGGACAUUUCUCAUCCUGGGCGGAGGAGGGGGAGCAGACGGAAGGCAGCUCUGUGCUGUCUGGGCUCCACUGGGAGCUUUGGCACUAAUUUUGUGGGAGAAGAAGAUUGUUUUGGCUAUAAUGAAGGAUCUGUUUGUUAACCCUGUGACCUUGAUGUGGAUUGGGAGUUUGUCCACUCAUUCAACUCACUCAACAGCUGACUGUUGUUUUGCACUGCAGUAACUGCGCUGGAUGUGAUUUGAGGUUUUACAGCUUUGAUUAUGUAGAAAAACAGCCUGGAAUAAAAAUAAAUGUAACCCCUUUGAUUCAUGCGGA